Drosophila subpulchrella is the source of this 683-nucleotide long non-coding RNA. RefSeq lists it as uncharacterized. Lineage: Eukaryota; Metazoa; Arthropoda; Insecta; Diptera; Drosophilidae. The transcript is spliced from 2 exons. The record is from RefSeq and is a predicted model, not a curated record.
CUCGUCUAGUCAUGCUGAUCAAGAAUAUAUAUACUUUAUGGGGUCGGAAACGUCUCCUUCACUGCGUUGCAAACUUCUGACUGAAAUCAUUAUACCCUCUGCAAGGGUAUAAAAAUGAAGAAAAAACCUAGAAAACGCCUGCAGAAUAUCAGUGCAGAUGAAAAAGGACCCCUUAUCCAAGCUGUUGCCCAUUAUUGUAGGACUUCACCGACAGUAAGCAUUACCACAACAGGGGCAAAUCAGCAGAAUGGUUGCAGUGCUGCAGGAGAUCCACUAGAGAAUCCCAAUGGGAAGGAACAUGCUCUCUACAUGGACAUCCUGCCGGGCGUAUCCUCGUAAAGAAAGUAAGAUCUGGCCAAAAGAACCUGGACUCCAGACACCACCACCACCAGCUACUUGGCCAGCUUAAGCGGAGCUGGAGGACCCGCUGGCUUCUAUAGGGAGGAGGAAAAUAAGGCGCCCGCUAAGGAACAGUUUAAGAAGCCAUAGACAACCACUGCGAGGAUGCUGCGCGACUUGCUGCAGCAUCAGCGGAUCAACCCCGUACCCAAUUCGGCUCCCACUUCCUUAAGGCCCAAUAUGCCUAUUGGUACUCGGAGCUGGACUGCGGUGGCGCGGGAAGGAUGGCAAAGCAUCCGUAAACUACUUAUUUACAUAAAUAAAAACAUUCGUUGUACAUUCCA